UAACAGGAGCCUUUGUAUUUUAUCAUUAUUUAUUUCAAGCAUAUUUGGAAUAUUAGGUAUACAUAAACCAAUAUUUCAAAGACUAUCAUAUUCUUCUCUUAAUUCAAACUCUCAAGUAAAUACACAAAUGAACAUAUCUAAGGAUAGCCCUAGGUAUAGCUUUAACAAUAAAAAUACCUUCUAUCUUAACCCUGAUUAUAUUACAGGAUUUGUGGAUGGGGAAGGCUGUUUCUCUCUUUCACUGUUUAAAGAUGAUAGACGCUUAAAUGGUUGACAAGUUAAACCUAUAUUUAGUAUAUCUCUUCAUAAGAAGGAUAUUUCACUAUUAGAAGCUAUUCAAAGAACCUUUAAAGUAGGAAAGAUUUAUAAACAUGGUAUUGAUUCUAUACAAUAUCGUGUAAGUUCUUUAAAAAAUUUACAAAUAAUCACAGAUCAUUUUGAUAGUUAUCCUUUAAUAACACAAAAGAGAGUAGAUUAUCUACUAUUUAAACAAGCUAUAGCUUUAAUAAAAAAUAAAGAACAUUUAUCUUUAGAAGGUUUAUUAAAAUUAGUAGGAAUAAAAGCUACAUUAAAUUGAGGUCUAUCUGACAAAUUUAAAGAAAGUUUCCCUACUGUAAAAGCAGCAGUGAGACCUUCAGUAAUAUACAAUACUUCAGAUGUUAAGGUUAAAAGCUUAAACUGAAUUAGAGGAUUUAUAGAAGGUGAAGGAUGUUUCCAAGUUAUAACUCAAAAUUCCCCCCCCCGAAAGGGGGGGUGGCGAAAUGUUUGGUUAAGAUUUUCACUAACUCAGCAUAUUAAAGAUGAAGAGUUAUUGAAGGAUAUAGCUAUUUAUCUAAAUAUGGGUAGAUAUUACAAAUCACCAACACGUAAUGAAGGUCAAUACUUAAUAACAAUAUUUUCAGAUAUAAAUAAUAAGCUAAUACCUUUCUUAAAAGAGUACCCAUUAUUGGGAGUUAAACAGGAAGAUUUCUUAGAUUUUGUAAAGAUAGCCAAACUAAUAGAAUCUAAAACUCAUUUAACUGAUGAAGGAUUAGAUACAAUAAAGCUAAUUCAAAGUAAUAUGAAUAGCAAAAGAAUAAUAAAAGAAGAA
This 1090-nucleotide unclassified non-coding RNA is filed under the name Neurospora crassa. The record is from RNAcentral. Lineage: Eukaryota; Fungi; Ascomycota; Sordariomycetes; Sordariales; Sordariaceae.